This 1527-nucleotide ribosomal RNA is filed under the name Klebsiella variicola. RNAcentral's name for it is "partial 23S ribosomal RNA". It matches the Rfam family "Bacterial large subunit ribosomal RNA", at positions 1292 to 2801 of the family's 2925-position model. The record is from RNAcentral. RNAcentral also lists the same sequence under 1 other name. Lineage: Bacteria; Pseudomonadati; Pseudomonadota; Gammaproteobacteria; Enterobacterales; Enterobacteriaceae.
GAAUGCUGACAUAAGUAACGAUAAAGCGGGUGAAAAGCCCGCUCGCCGGAAGACCAAGGGUUCCUGUCCAACGUUAAUCGGGGCAGGGUGAGUCGACCCCUAAGGCGAGGCCGAAAGGCGUAGUCGAUGGGAAACAGGUUAAUAUUCCUGUACUUGGUGUUACUGCGAAGGGGGGACGGAGAAGGCUAUGUUAGCCGGGCGACGGUUGUCCCGGUUUAAGCAUGUAGGCGGAGGUUCCAGGUAAAUCCGGUACCUUUUAACGCUGAGGUGUGAUGACGAGGCACUACGGUGCUGAAGUAACAAAUGCCCUGCUUCCAGGAAAAGCCUCUAAGCAUCAGGUAACAUUAAAUCGUACCCCAAACCGACACAGGUGGUCAGGUAGAGAAUACCAAGGCGCUUGAGAGAACUCGGGUGAAGGAACUAGGCAAAAUGGUGCCGUAACUUCGGGAGAAGGCACGCUGGUGUGUAGGUGAAGUCCCUGCGGAUGGAGCUGAGACCAGUCGAAGAUACCAGCUGGCUGCAACUGUUUAUUAAAAACACAGCACUGUGCAAACACGAAAGUGGACGUAUACGGUGUGACGCCUGCCCGGUGCCGGAAGGUUAAUUGAUGGGGUUAUCCGUAAGGAGAAGCUCUUGAUCGAAGCCCCGGUAAACGGCGGCCGUAACUAUAACGGUCCUAAGGUAGCGAAAUUCCUUGUCGGGUAAGUUCCGACCUGCACGAAUGGCGUAAUGAUGGCCAGGCUGUCUCCACCCGAGACUCAGUGAAAUUGAACUCGCUGUGAAGAUGCAGUGUACCCGCGGCAAGACGGAAAGACCCCGUGAACCUUUACUAUAGCUUGACACUGAACAUUGAGCCUUGAUGUGUAGGAUAGGUGGGAGGCUUUGAAGCGUGGACGCCAGUCUGCGUGGAGCCAACCUUGAAAUACCACCCUUUAAUGUUUGAUGUUCUAACGUAGGCCCCUGACCGGGGUUGCGGACAGUGUCUGGUGGGUAGUUUGACUGGGGCGGUCUCCUCCCAAAGAGUAACGGAGGAGCACGAAGGUUAGCUAAUCCUGGUCGGACAUCAGGAGGUUAGUGCAAUGGCAUAAGCUAGCUUGACUGCGAGCGUGACGGCGCGAGCAGGUGCGAAAGCAGGUCAUAGUGAUCCGGUGGUUCUGAAUGGAAGGGCCAUCGCUCAACGGAUAAAAGGUACUCCGGGGAUAACAGGCUGAUACCGCCCAAGAGUUCAUAUCGACGGCGGUGUUUGGCACCUCGAUGUCGGCUCAUCACAUCCUGGGGCUGAAGUAGGUCCCAAGGGUAUGGCUGUUCGCCAUUUAAAGUGGUACGCGAGCUGGGUUUAGAACGUCGUGAGACAGUUCGGUCCCUAUCUGCCGUGGGCGCUGGAGAAUUGAGGGGGGCUGCUCCUAGUACGAGAGGACCGGAGUGGACGCAUCACUGGUGUUCGGGUUGUCAUGCCAAUGGCACUGCCCGGUAGCUAAAUGCGGAAGAGAUAAGUGCUGAAAGCAUCUAAGCACGAAACUUGCCCCG